ACUCGGUCACUCUUUUCUCUCUCUCUCACGCACUCAUUCUCUGGUUCACCUCACCUCACUCACGAUUCACAAACGCACCACCACCAAUCCACCACAGGACCACCGGCCGCCACCACGGCACCACCAGGCCCCAGCCACCCAGACCCCACUCACUCGGUCACUCCUUUCUCUCUCUCUCACGCACUCAUUCUCUGGUUCACAUUCACGAACGCAUCACAACCAAUCCACCACAGGACCACGACCACCGGCCGCACAACGCACCACCACGGCACCACCGGCACCGACACCGUCCAUCUCUGCUGCUGUUGAAGCCUGAAGGUUCAUUUUGUCCCUGAUGAACGAGGCUAGCUUAUUUCUGCUUCAGAAGAUGGUUUGAUCUGCACAUUUGAUACCACGGGAGAUAUCAAUGAUGAUGAUCAUCUAGAGUCAUUGGAAAGAUGGCAAGCUUCAAUAGAAGACUACGAAAUCUUGCAAAAAGAGACACCAGAUGAUGAGGAAGUUAACCGGGCAUUGUUGGAAGCCAGAGCACAGCUCAAGAAAUAGUAUGGUUAAGACUAACAUUGGAAGUUCAUUUCCCCUAAUUACUUCUCUUUUUUGUUUCUUUUAGUUACUUUUUAUUUUACUUCCGUAGCUAUGCAAAUUAAUGGUGAAAUUGAUAUUACUGAUCCUAUCUGUUGCUAGGAUGCUUAUAUAUGCAGAGCUCAAGCUUCACAUUUUAAAAAAUAGAAGGUUUCUUUGUGUCUUUUGUAUUUUGAACUGCUGUUUUUUUGGCAUGCAAAAUCUGUAAAUUUCUUGUUUACAAAAUUGUAGGUGAUUAAUGUGGGAACUUCCAUUGCCAAGGUAGGGCUUUUUGGAGAGAGUUAUCAGAAGCUUUGGUGUUUAACGCAUAUUGAAACCUUGGGGUACAGUUUAUUUCGGUUAUCUGUUUAGUUCAGGUUACAAAGGUAUAUGAAAGUCUUUUCCCUUUCGCUGUGUUUGGAAUCCUUAAAAUCAUCUUGGAAUUGGAAUGAAUUCUCGUAUGAAUCUGGUUUUAAAUUGUCAUGGUUUAAGACUUUAAUUCAUUUACCAAUCAUUGUGUUUGUAAAUUGUAAUAUCUCAUAAUUUGUUACUUUUAAUGGAUUUGUAAAUCAUUUUCAUUCAACUGAAGUCUUUUCAUUU
Lotus japonicus is the source of this 1158-nucleotide long non-coding RNA. RefSeq lists it as uncharacterized. The record is from RefSeq and is a predicted model, not a curated record. NCBI's taxonomy places the organism in Eukaryota, Viridiplantae, Streptophyta, Magnoliopsida, Fabales, Fabaceae. The transcript is spliced from 3 exons.